Molecule: ribosomal RNA, 442 nt
Filed under: uncultured bacterium
Lineage: Bacteria
Description: bacterial SSU rRNA
Rfam family: Bacterial small subunit ribosomal RNA
Source: RNAcentral
AACGCGAAGAACCUUACCUGGAUUUGACAUGUAUUUGACAGCCACAGAGAUGUGGUGUUCUCGCAAGAGACAGAUACACAGGUGCUGCAUGGCUGUCGUCAGCUCGUGCCGUGAGGUGUUGGGUUAAGUCCCGCAACGAGCGCAACCCUUGUCGUUAGUUGCCAGCGAGUAAUGUCGGGCACUCUAGCGAGACUGCCUGGGUUAACCAGGAGGAAGGUGAGGAUGACGUCAAGUCCGCAUGGCCUUUAUAUCCAGGGCUACACACGUGCUACAAUGGCCGGUACAGAAGGCAGCAAAACCGUGAGGUGGAGCAAAUCCCGAAAGCCGGCCCCAGUUCAGAUUGGAGUCUGCAACUCGACUCCAUGAAGAUGGAAUUGCUAGUAAUGGCGAGUCAGCAACAUCGCCGUGAAUACGUUCCCGGGCCUUGUACACACCGAGUAUA